GGGGCCGUGGUCUAGUGGCUAUGACGUUGGGCUCCAGAAAGUACAACAGGCUUGACUGACCCUGCGGGGGAUGAAGAGUUUCUGGAGCGGGGAAACCCAAAUGUCGAGGGUUCAAGUCCUUCCGGCCCCACCA
This 133-nucleotide transfer RNA is filed under the name Deltaproteobacteria bacterium. RNAcentral describes it as "tRNA-OTHER". It matches the Rfam family "tRNA". From Rfam's summary of the family: Transfer RNA (tRNA) molecules are approximately 80 nucleotides in length. Their secondary structure includes four short double-helical elements and three loops (D, anti-codon, and T loops). Lineage: Bacteria; Pseudomonadati; Myxococcota; Myxococcia. The record is from RNAcentral.